RNAcentral lists this ribosomal RNA (446 nucleotides) under uncultured Anaerolineaceae bacterium. Its description in RNAcentral is "bacterial SSU rRNA". It matches the Rfam family "Bacterial small subunit ribosomal RNA", at positions 925 to 1378 of the family's 1533-position model. The record is from RNAcentral. Lineage: Bacteria; Bacillati; Chloroflexota; Anaerolineae; Anaerolineales; Anaerolineaceae.
ACAAGCAGCGGAGCGUGUGGUUUAAUUCGAUGCUACACGAAGAACCUUACCUGGGUUUGACAUAGAGGUAGUAGGGAAGCGAAAGCGGACCGACCCUUCGGGGAGCCUCUACAGGUGUUGCAUGGCUGUCGUCAGCUCGUGUCGUGAGAUGUUCGGUUAAGUCCGCUAACGAGCGCAACCCUCGCUGUGUGUUACAAGUGUCACACGGUACUGCCGAUAUUAAAGUCGGAGGAAGGUGGGGAUGACGUCAAGUCAGCAUGACCUUUAUAUCCAGGGCUACACACACGCUACAAUGGCCAGUACAAUGGGUUGCCAAGCCGCGAGGCGGAGCCAAUCCUAAAAAGCUGGCCUCAGUUCAGAUUGCAGUCUGCAACUCGACUGCAUGAAGUUGGAGUUGCUAGUAACCGCAGGUCAGCAAUACUGCGGUGAAUACGUUCCCGGGGAUU